GUGCCAGCAGCCGCGGUAAUACGUAGGCAGCGAGCGUUGUUCGGAGUUACUGGGCGUAAAGGGUGUGUAGGCGGUUCUCUAAGUCUGGUGUGAAAUCUCCCGGCUCAACUGGGAGGGUGCGCCGGAAACUGGAGAGCUAGAGUGCGGGAUGGGAGAGUGGAAUUCCUGGUGUAGCGGUGAAAUGCGUAGAUAUCAGGAGGAACACCUGUGGUGUAGACGGCUCUCUGGACCGUAACUGACGCUGAGACACGAAAGCGUGGGUAGCAAACAGGAUUAGAAACCCUGGUAGUCC
RNAcentral lists this ribosomal RNA (292 nucleotides) under uncultured bacterium. Its description in RNAcentral is "partial 16S ribosomal RNA". It matches the Rfam family "Bacterial small subunit ribosomal RNA", at positions 505 to 796 of the family's 1533-position model. The record is from RNAcentral.